Molecule: ribosomal RNA, 525 nt
Filed under: uncultured marine eukaryote
Lineage: Eukaryota
Description: bacterial SSU rRNA
Rfam family: Eukaryotic small subunit ribosomal RNA
Source: RNAcentral
AACCUGGUUGAUCCUGCCAGUAGUCAUACGCUCGUCUCAAAGAUUAAGCCAUGCAUGUGUAAGUAUCAAUGAUUUGACCAAAGAAACUGCGAAUAGUCUGCAUUAAAACAGUUAUAGUUUACUUGGUGGUUACUCUUGACAUGGAUAACUGUGGUGAUUCUAGAGCAUACAUACAUGCGCCAAAACCCAACUACUUGGACGGGUGUGUGUAUAUUAGCCCCAGAACCGACCCAGGCUCCGCCUGGUCCUGUGGUGAACCGUAAUAAGCAAACGAAUCGCGUAGCUUCCGCUGGCGAUAAACCAUUCAAGUUUCUGACCUGUCAGCUUCCGACGGUACGGUAUUGGCCUACCGUGGCAAUGACGGGUAACGGAGAAUUAGGGUUCGAUUCCGGAGAGGGAGCCUGAGAAAUGGCCACCACAUCUAAGGAAGGCAGCAGGCGCGCAAAUUACCCCAAUCCUGACACAGGGAGGUAGUGACAAGAAAUAACAAUAUAGGGCAUCCAUGUCUUGUAAUUGGAAUGAAUA